GACGAACGCUGGCGGCGUGCUUAACACAUGCAAGUCGAGCGGUAAGGCCCUUUCGGGGGUACACGAGCGGCGAACGGGUGAGUAGCACGUGGGUGACCCGCCCUCAGCUCUGGGAUAAGCCUGGGAAACCGGGUCUAAUACUGGAUAUGACUCCAUGACGCAUGUUGUGGGGUGGAAAGCCUUGUGCGGCUGAGGAUGGGCCCGCGGCCUAUCAGCUUGUUGGUGGGGUGANGGCCUACCAAGGCGACGACGGGUAGCCGGCCUGAGAGGGCGACCGGCCACACUGGGACCGAGACACGGCCCAGACUCCUACGGGAGGCAGCAGUGGGGAAUCUUGCGCAAUGGGCGAAAGCCUGACGCAGCGACGCCGCGUGAGGGAUGACGGCCU
This 388-nucleotide ribosomal RNA is filed under the name uncultured bacterium. RNAcentral's name for it is "bacterial SSU rRNA". It matches the Rfam family "Bacterial small subunit ribosomal RNA", at positions 28 to 417 of the family's 1533-position model. The record is from RNAcentral.